UUCCACUUUCGGGUAUCGACAUGGUCAG
RNAcentral lists this small RNA (28 nucleotides) under Bombyx mori (domestic silkworm). RNAcentral describes it as "ovarian small RNA-37118". Lineage: Eukaryota; Metazoa; Arthropoda; Insecta; Lepidoptera; Bombycidae. The record is from RNAcentral.